CCUACGGGAGGCAGCAGUAGGGAAUCUUCCACAAUGGGCGAAAGCCUGAUGGAGCAACGCCGCGUGGGUGAAGAAGGUCUUCGGAUCGUAAAACCCUGUUGUUAGAGAAGAAAGUGCGUGAGAGUAACUGUUCACGUUUCGACGGUAUCUAACCAGAACGCCACGGCUAACUACGUGCCAGCAGCCGCGGUAAUACGUAGGUGGCAAGCGUUAUCCGGAUUUAUUGGGCGUAAGGGGAACGCAGGCGGUCUUUUAAGUCUGAUGUGAAAGCCUUCGGCUUAACCGGAGUAGUGCAUUGGAAACUGGGGGACUUGAGUGCAGAAGAGGAGAGUGGAACUCCAUGUGUAGCGGUGAAAUGCGUAGAUAUCGGGAAGAACAACAAUGGCGAAGGCAGGUCUCUGGGCCGUUACUGACGCUGAGGAGCGAAAGCGUGGGGAGCGAACAGGAUUAGAUACCCCAGUAGUC
RNAcentral lists this ribosomal RNA (465 nucleotides) under uncultured bacterium. RNAcentral's name for it is "partial 16S ribosomal RNA". It matches the Rfam family "Bacterial small subunit ribosomal RNA", at positions 338 to 795 of the family's 1533-position model. The record is from RNAcentral.